RNAcentral lists this ribosomal RNA (253 nucleotides) under uncultured bacterium. RNAcentral describes it as "partial 16S ribosomal RNA". It matches the Rfam family "Bacterial small subunit ribosomal RNA", at positions 524 to 776 of the family's 1533-position model. The record is from RNAcentral.
UACGGAGGGUGCGAGCGUUGUCCGGAAUCACUGGGCGUAAAGGGCGCGUAGGUGGCCGAGCAAGGUCGCGGUGAAAGCCCGGGGCUCAACCCCGGGUCGGCCGUGGCAACUACUGGGCUGGAGCACUGUAGGGGCGGGUGGAAUUCCGGGUGUGGCGGUGGAAUGCGUAGAGAUCCGGAAGAACACCGGUGGCGAAGGCGGCCCGCUGGGCAGUUGCUGACACUGAGGCGCGACAGCGUGGGGAGCAAACAGG